GCUAUGUAGCUCAGUUGGUUAGAGCACCGCACUCAUAAUGCGGGGGUCACAAGUUCAAGUCUCGUCAUAGCCACCA
RNAcentral lists this transfer RNA (76 nucleotides) under Acinetobacter baumannii. Its description in RNAcentral is "tRNA-Met". It matches the Rfam family "tRNA". From Rfam's summary of the family: Transfer RNA (tRNA) molecules are approximately 80 nucleotides in length. Their secondary structure includes four short double-helical elements and three loops (D, anti-codon, and T loops). The record is from RNAcentral. RNAcentral also lists the same sequence under 1 other name. Lineage: Bacteria; Pseudomonadati; Pseudomonadota; Gammaproteobacteria; Moraxellales; Moraxellaceae.